This 175-nucleotide ribosomal RNA is filed under the name Ilex integerrima. RNAcentral's name for it is "5.8S ribosomal RNA". The stretch from base 1 to 118 matches the Rfam family "5.8S ribosomal RNA", at positions 39 to 154 of the family's 154-position model. Rfam says of the family: 5.8S ribosomal RNA (5.8S rRNA) is a component of the large subunit of the eukaryotic ribosome. It is transcribed by RNA polymerase I as part of the 45S precursor that also contains 18S and 28S rRNA. Lineage: Eukaryota; Viridiplantae; Streptophyta; Magnoliopsida; Aquifoliales; Aquifoliaceae. The record is from RNAcentral.
AAGAACGUAGCGAAAUGCGAUACUUGGUGUGAAUUGCAGAAUCCCGUGAACCAUCGAGUUUUUGAACGCAAGUUGCGCCCAAAGCCAUUAGGCUAAGGGCACGUCUGCCUGGGCGUNANGCNUCAAGCAUCACGUCGCCCCCKACCKCAAAGCCCGGUUACCAGCUGGACCUUGC